CUACGGGUCGCAGCAGUGGGGAAUAUUGCACAAUGGGCGCAAGCCUGAUGCAGCAACGCCGCGUGAACGAAGAAGGUUUUCGGAUCGUAAAGUUCUUUUCUUAGGGAAGAAACCAUGACGGUACCUAAGGAAUAAGCACCGGCUAACUACGGUGCCAGCAGCCGCGGUAAUACGUAGGGUGCAAGCGUUAUCCGGAAUCACUGGGCGUAAAGGGUGCGUAGGCGGUCUGACAAGUCAGGAGUGAAAGGCAGUGGCUCAACCAUUGUAAGCUUUUGAAACUGUCGGACUUGAAUGCAGGAGGGGCAAGUGGAAUUCCUAGUGUAGCGGUGAAAUGCGUAGAUAUUAGGAGGAACACCAGUGGCGAAGGCGACUUGCUGGACUGUAAUUGACGCUGAGGCACGAAAGCGUGGGGAGCAAACAGGAUUAGAUACCCGCGUAGUC
RNAcentral lists this ribosomal RNA (441 nucleotides) under uncultured bacterium. RNAcentral describes it as "partial 16S ribosomal RNA". It matches the Rfam family "Bacterial small subunit ribosomal RNA", at positions 339 to 795 of the family's 1533-position model. The record is from RNAcentral.